GAUGAAGAACGCAGCGAAAUGCGAUAAGUAGUGUGAAUUGCAGAAUUCAGUGAAUCAUCGAAUCUUUGAACGCACAUUGCGCCCUUUGGUAUUCCUUAGGGCAUGCCUGUUCGAGCGUCAUUUAAACCUUCAAGCUAAGCUUGGUGUUGGGUGACUGUCCGCUUCACGGCGGACUCGCCUCAAAAUUAUUGGCGGCCGGUACAUUGGCUUCGAGCGCAGCAGAAACGCGAACUCGGGCCCGUCGUAUUGGCUCCCAGAAGCUAUCUUCACAAUUUUGACCUCGGAUCAGGUAGGGAUACCCGCUGAACUUAAGCAUAUCAAUAAGCUGAGGA
Molecule: unclassified non-coding RNA, 332 nt
Filed under: soil metagenome
Description: partial contains 5.8S ribosomal RNA, internal transcribed spacer 2, and large subunit ribosomal RNA
Rfam family: 5.8S ribosomal RNA (bases 1-120)
Source: RNAcentral